Molecule: ribosomal RNA, 253 nt
Filed under: uncultured bacterium
Lineage: Bacteria
Description: partial 16S ribosomal RNA
Rfam family: Bacterial small subunit ribosomal RNA
Source: RNAcentral
UACGAAGGGGGCUAGCGUUGCUCGGAAUCACUGGGCGUAAAGGGUGCGUAGGCGGGUCCUUAAGUCAGAGGUGAAAUCCUGGAGCUCAACUCCAGAACUGCCUUUGAUACUGAGGAUCUUGAGUUCGGGAGAGGUGAGUGGAACUGCGAGUGUAGAGGUGAAAUUCGUAGAUAUUCGCAAGAACACCAGUGGCGAAGGCGGCUCACUGGCCCGAUACUGACGCUGAGGCACGAAAGCGUGGGGAGCAAACAGG